This is a non-coding RNA of Crucibulum laeve, 91 nucleotides long. NCBI's taxonomy places the organism in Eukaryota, Fungi, Basidiomycota, Agaricomycetes, Agaricales, Nidulariaceae. The record is from the annotation of a GenBank genome assembly.
UCCGGUAUGGUGUAACGGCUAACAUUACCGCCUUUCACUCCGCAUGUAAAUGAGUGCGCGGUAGCUCGGGGUUCGAUUCCCCGUACCGGAA